UACGGGGAGAGCAAGCGUUGUUCGGAUUUACUGGGCGUAAAGGGCGCGUAGGCGGCGUAACAAGUCACUUGUGAAAUCUCCGGGCUUAACCCGGAGCGGCCAAGUGAUACUGUUGUGCUAGAGUGCGGAAGGGGCUACUGGAAUUCUCGGUGUAGCGGUGAAAUGCGUAGAUAUCGAGAGGAACACCUGCGGCGAAGGCGGGUAGCUGGGCCGACACUGACGCUGAGGCGCGAAAGCCAGGGGAGCGAACGGG
RNAcentral lists this ribosomal RNA (253 nucleotides) under uncultured bacterium. RNAcentral's name for it is "partial 16S ribosomal RNA". It matches the Rfam family "Bacterial small subunit ribosomal RNA", at positions 524 to 776 of the family's 1533-position model. The record is from RNAcentral.